This 385-nucleotide ribosomal RNA is filed under the name uncultured Staphylococcus sp. RNAcentral describes it as "bacterial SSU rRNA". It matches the Rfam family "Bacterial small subunit ribosomal RNA", at positions 1010 to 1395 of the family's 1533-position model. The record is from RNAcentral. Lineage: Bacteria; Bacillati; Bacillota; Bacilli; Caryophanales; Staphylococcaceae.
GUUUUCCCCUUCGGGGGACAAAGUGACAGGUGGUGCAUGGUUGUCGUCAGCUCGUGUCGUGAGAUGUUGGGUUAAGUCCCGCAACGAGCGCAACCCUUAAGCUUAGUUGCCAUCAUUAAGUUGGGCACUCUAGGUUGACUGCCGGUGACAAACCGGAGGAAGGUGGGGAUGACGUCAAAUCAUCAUGCCCCUUAUGAUUUGGGCUACACACGUGCUACAAUGGAUAAUACAAAGGGCAGCGAACCCGCGAGGUCAAGCAAAUCCCAUAAAAUUAUUCUCAGUUCGGAUUGUAGUCUGCAACUCGACUACAUGAAGCUGGAAUCGCUAGUAAUCGUAGAUCAGCAUGCUACGGUGAAUACGUUCCCGGGUCUUGUACACACCGAAA